RNAcentral lists this ribosomal RNA (1395 nucleotides) under Mycobacterium intracellulare. Its description in RNAcentral is "bacterial SSU rRNA". It matches the Rfam family "Bacterial small subunit ribosomal RNA". Lineage: Bacteria; Bacillati; Actinomycetota; Actinomycetes; Mycobacteriales; Mycobacteriaceae. RNAcentral also lists the same sequence under 5 other names. The record is from RNAcentral.
GUGCUUAACACAUGCAAGUCGAACGGAAAGGCCCCUUCGGGGGUACUCGAGUGGCGAACGGGUGAGUAACACGUGGGCAAUCUGCCCUGCACUUCGGGAUAAGCCUGGGAAACUGGGUCUAAUACCGGAUAGGACCUUUAGGCGCAUGUCUUUAGGUGGAAAGCUUUUGCGGUGUGGGAUGGGCCCGCGGCCUAUCAGCUUGUUGGUGGGGUGAUGGCCUACCAAGGCGACGACGGGUAGCCGGCCUGAGAGGGUGUCCGGCCACACUGGGACUGAGAUACGGCCCAGACUCCUACGGGAGGCAGCAGUGGGGAAUAUUGCACAAUGGGCGCAAGCCUGAUGCAGCGACGCCGCGUGGGGGAUGACGGCCUUCGGGUUGUAAACCUCUUUCACCAUCGACGAAGGUCCGGGUUUUCUCGGAUUGACGGUAGGUGGAGAAGAAGCACCGGCCAACUACGUGCCAGCAGCCGCGGUAAUACGUAGGGUGCGAGCGUUGUCCGGAAUUACUGGGCGUAAAGAGCUCGUAGGUGGUUUGUCGCGUUGUUCGUGAAAUCUCACGGCUUAACUGUGAGCGUGCGGGCGAUACGGGCAGACUAGAGUACUGCAGGGGAGACUGGAAUUCCUGGUGUAGCGGUGGAAUGCGCAGAUAUCAGGAGGAACACCGGUGGCGAAGGCGGGUCUCUGGGCAGUAACUGACGCUGAGGAGCGAAAGCGUGGGGAGCGAACAGGAUUAGAUACCCUGGUAGUCCACGCCGUAAACGGUGGGUACUAGGUGUGGGUUUCCUUCCUUGGGAUCCGUGCCGUAGCUAACGCAUUAAGUACCCCGCCUGGGGAGUACGGCCGCAAGGCUAAAACUCAAAGGAAUUGACGGGGGCCCGCACAAGCGGCGGAGCAUGUGGAUUAAUUCGAUGCAACGCGAAGAACCUUACCUGGGUUUGACAUGCACAGGACGCGUCUAGAGAUAGGCGUUCCCUUGUGGCCUGUGUGCAGGUGGUGCAUGGCUGUCGUCAGCUCGUGUCGUGAGAUGUUGGGUUAAGUCCCGCAACGAGCGCAACCCUUGUCUCAUGUUGCCAGCGGGUAAUGCCGGGGACUCGUGAGAGACUGCCGGGGUCAACUCGGAGGAAGGUGGGGAUGACGUCAAGUCAUCAUGCCCCUUAUGUCCAGGGCUUCACACAUGCUACAAUGGCCGGUACAAAGGGCUGCGAUGCCGCAAGGUUAAGCGAAUCCUUUUAAAGCCGGUCUCAGUUCGGAUUGGGGUCUGCAACUCGACCCCAUGAAGUCGGAGUCGCUAGUAAUCGCAGAUCAGCAACGCUGCGGUGAAUACGUUCCCGGGCCUUGUACACACCGCCCGUCACGUCAUGAAAGUCGGUAACACCCGAAGCCAGUGGCCUAACC